This is a non-coding RNA of Camelina sativa (false flax), 899 nucleotides long. Lineage: Eukaryota; Viridiplantae; Streptophyta; Magnoliopsida; Brassicales; Brassicaceae. The record is from RefSeq and is a predicted model, not a curated record.
GAGGAAUCCAAAAGAAGAUCCUCUUCUUCUCUGGUUAACUGGAGGACCUGGCUGCUCUUGUUUAUGAGAAUGGUUACAUCGUCAACUUUCAUUUGUUAUUUACUCAUUUCUUCUGUGUCUGUUCUCAAAACAGAACCAAAAUGUUACUAAACUCGCUAGUCAUGAACACACACACUCACCCUCUCUGUUUUUAAUAGAAUAGACAGCAAUAUUGGAUUCUCGUUAUCUUUUCCAAACCAACAAAGAUGCUUUCAGUUUAGAAAACCACAUUCUUAAGCUUUAUUAUAAUAAAAGGACAGAAGAGCAAUAAUAGCUUCUACAAUUUGUGCUCAAAUCCACAUGUUUGAAUCAGGGCCUGUGACUGUGAAGCUUGAGGUUUACAAUGGAUCUCUUCCUUCCUUGGUCUCUACUACACAUUCAUGGACUAAGGUUUCGAGUAUAAUAUAUUUGGAUCAGCCUGUUGGGACUGGCUUCUCCUACUCAAAAACUCAACUUGUUGAUAAACCUAGUGAUUCAGGAGAAGUCAAGAGAAUCUAUGAGUUUCUUCACAAGGCAUGAAAUCAAAAGACUACUUAAUAUUUAACUGUCUCUUUAAAUAUAUAUCUCUUCUUUGUGCAUAGAUUGUUUGGUUGUUGUUGUGCAGUGGCUAGGUAAGCAUCAAGAGUUUUCCUCCAACUCUUUCUAUGUCGGUGGAGAUUCUUAUUCCGGUGUGGUCAUCCCAGCACUCGUUCAAGAAAUCUCAAAAGUAUAAACACGUACGUUGAUGCAGGAAAUUAUCUAUGUUGCAAACCUCCAAUAAAUCUUCAGGGAUAUGUUCUUGGAAACCCAUCCACCGAAAGCCCAUUUGAUAGAAACCAUCGCAUUCCAUAUGCUCAUGGAAUGGCACUGAUCUCAGAUGA